RNAcentral lists this ribosomal RNA (374 nucleotides) under Dociostaurus hispanicus. RNAcentral describes it as "partial 12S ribosomal RNA". The record is from RNAcentral. Lineage: Eukaryota; Metazoa; Arthropoda; Insecta; Orthoptera; Acrididae.
AUUAUUUUAAGUGUUAAUUUUACUUACCUGGGUACUAUUAGUUAGGAUCUUUAAACCCAAAGAAUUUGGCGGUACCUUAUUCCAUUCAGAGGAACCUAUCCCGUAAUUGAUAAUACACGAUUUACUUUACUUAAUUUAUUUGUUUGUAUAUCUCCGUUAUCAGAAAAUCUUAUUGGAGUUAUAAUUUUCUUGAUUUAUGAUUGCAAAAUAUUUCAGGUCAAGGUGCAGCUUAUAAUUAAGAGGAGGUGGGUUACAAUAAAUUUUUGUUUAUUAUGGAUUUAAUAGUUAAAUACUUUUAAUGAAGGUGGAUUUGAUAGUAAUUUAAUUAAGUUAUUUUAAUUGAUAUUGGCUCUAAGGUGUGUACACAUCGCCCC